This 485-nucleotide ribosomal RNA is filed under the name uncultured Methanosaeta sp. RNAcentral's name for it is "bacterial SSU rRNA". It matches the Rfam family "Archaeal small subunit ribosomal RNA", at positions 858 to 1338 of the family's 1478-position model. The record is from RNAcentral. Lineage: Archaea; Methanobacteriati; Methanobacteriota; Methanomicrobia; Methanotrichales; Methanotrichaceae.
UUAAAGGGAAUUGACGGGGGAAGCAACCACAACAGGUGGAGCCUGCGGUUUAAUCGGACUCAACGCCGGAAAUCUUACCGGGACCGACAGCAAUAUGAAGGCCAGGCUGAAGACUUUGCCGGAUUAGCUGAGAGGUGGUGCAUGGCCGUCGUCAGUUCGUACUGUGAAGCAUCCUGUUAAGUCAGGCAACGAGCGAGACCCACGCCCACAGUUGCCAGCGUACUCUCUGGAGUGACGGGUACACUGUGGGACCGCCGCUGCUAAAGCGGAGGAAGGAAUGGGCAACGGUAGGUCAGUAUGCCCCGAAUAUCCCGGGCUACACGCGAGCUACAAUGGUUGGUACAAUGGGUAUCUACCCCGAAAGGGGACGGGAAUCUCCUAAAACCAAUCUUAGUUCGGAUUGAGGGCUGCAACUCGCCCUCAUGAAGCUGGAAUCCGUAGUAAUCGCGUUUCAACAGAACGCGGUGAAUACGUCCCUGCUCCUU